This 206-nucleotide long non-coding RNA is filed under the name Sorghum bicolor (sorghum). RNAcentral describes it as "long non-coding RNA (SBIC_LNC009373)". Lineage: Eukaryota; Viridiplantae; Streptophyta; Magnoliopsida; Poales; Poaceae. The record is from RNAcentral.
GUGCGAAAAGAGUCCCGAACCAAGUCCAGAGGGGGGCGGGCGCCCAGGUCAACUGGGCGGGCGCCCAGUGCCUGGCCCCGUUCGGCCUCCGCUUCCUUCCCGUGGCUUCUGGAGUCUUCUAGAUGGUAGAAAAUUGCGCGGUGCGUUGAUAUCUCUAUGUAAUCCCGACAUGUGGGCCUUUCUUCCUUAUUUUCUGAUAACCCCCU